GACGAACGCGGCGGCGUGCCUAAUACAUGCAAGUAGAACGCUGAAGGAGGAGCUUGCUUCUCCGGAUGAGUUGCGAACGGGUGAGUAACGCGUAGGUAACCUGCCUGGUAGCGGGGGAUAACUAUUGGAAACGAUAGCUAAUACCGCAUAAGAGUAGAUGUUGCAUGACAUUUGCUUAAAAGGUGCAAUUGCAUCACUACCAGAUGGACCUGCGUUGUAUUAGCUAGUUGGUGGGGUAACGGCUCACCAAGGCGACGAUACAUAGCCGACCUGAGAGGGUGAUCGGCCACACUGGGACUGAGACACGGCCCAGACUCCUACGGGAGGCAGCAGUAGGGAAUCUUCGGCAAUGGACGGAAGUCUGACCGAGCAACGCCGCGUGAGUGAAGAAGGUUUUCGGAUCGUAAAGCUCUGUUGUAAGAGAAGAACGAGUGUGAGAGUGGAAAGUUCACACUGUGACGGUAUCUUACCAGAAAGGGACGGCUAACUACGUGCCAGCAGCCGCGGUAAUACGUAGGUCCCGAGCGUUGUCCGGAUUUAUUGGGCGUAAAGCGAGCGCAGGCGGUUAGAUAAGUCUGAAGUUAAAGGCUGUGGCUUAACCAUAGUACGCUUUGGAAACUGUUUAACUUGAGUGCAAGAGGGGAGAGUGGAAUUCCAUGUGUAGCGGUGAAAUGCGUAGAUAUAUGGAGGAACACCGGUGGCGAAAGCGGCUCUCUGGCUUGUAACUGACGCUGAGGCUCGAAAGCGUGGGGAGCAAACAGG
This 762-nucleotide ribosomal RNA is filed under the name uncultured Streptococcus sp. Its description in RNAcentral is "bacterial SSU rRNA". It matches the Rfam family "Bacterial small subunit ribosomal RNA", at positions 28 to 776 of the family's 1533-position model. The record is from RNAcentral. Lineage: Bacteria; Bacillati; Bacillota; Bacilli; Lactobacillales; Streptococcaceae.